This 22-nucleotide microRNA is filed under the name Mus musculus (house mouse). RNAcentral's name for it is "mmu-miR-8118". Lineage: Eukaryota; Metazoa; Chordata; Mammalia; Rodentia; Muridae. The record is from miRBase by way of RNAcentral.
GACAAACAUGACUAUGCUGACA